AGGGAAUCUUCCACAAUGGGCGAAAGCCUGAUGGAGCAACGCCGCGUGAGUGAAGAAGGUUUUCGGAUCGUAAAACCCUGUUGUAAGGGAAGAACAAGUACAGUAGUAACUGGCUGUACCUUGACGGUACCUUAUUAGAAAGCCACGGCUAACUACGUGCCAGCAGCCGCGGUAAUACGUAGGUGGCAAGCGUUGUCCGGAAUUAUUGGGCGUAAAGCGCGCGCAGGCGGUCCUUUAAGUCUGAUGUGAAAGCCCACGGCUCAACCGUGGAGGGUCAUUGGAAACUGGAGGACUUGAGUGCAGAAGAGGAAAGUGGAAUUCCAAGUGUAGCGGUGAAAUGCGUAGAGAUUUGGAGGAACACCAGUGGCGAAGGCGACUUUCUGGUCUGUAACUGACGCUGAGGCGCGAAAGCGUGGGGAGCAAAC
This 425-nucleotide ribosomal RNA is filed under the name uncultured bacterium. Its description in RNAcentral is "bacterial SSU rRNA". It matches the Rfam family "Bacterial small subunit ribosomal RNA", at positions 356 to 773 of the family's 1533-position model. The record is from RNAcentral.